Lagopus muta (rock ptarmigan) is the source of this 3462-nucleotide long non-coding RNA. RefSeq lists it as uncharacterized. The transcript is spliced from 2 exons. NCBI's taxonomy places the organism in Eukaryota, Metazoa, Chordata, Aves, Galliformes, Phasianidae. The record is from RefSeq and is a predicted model, not a curated record.
UUUGCUGCUGGCUGCCGAUGGAGAAAUCCUCUUGGGCCCGGAGAGCUGUUUUGUGAGCAACCUAUGUGAGCCAACAUGAACCUCAGCAAACUUGUCCACAGCUCCUGUCUGCUGAGGGGAUGGAGGUGGAUUCCAACACCGCUUUGUCAUGACCUAACCAGCACGAAGAGGAGGCUUCUGUCAUUAGGUAAAUAUUGUUUCAUGCUUGGAUAUAAUAAGUACACUGUAAAAAUGCCCUUUAAUGCUCCACUUAUAUCUUCUAAGUCAUAUACAUUGCAUUUAUCUACAGGCAUCUUCCUUCUUGUCAGCACUUCACAGAAAACAUAGAUACAGAGGGACAGUUUGUUUUCUGUUUUGCCUCACAGGCUGUUAACUGAAGUGGCAAGUAUGCUAUAAUAGGCAGCAGAUGAAGGAACUGAAAUGGAGCCUGAUUUUCAGCACUGUGCUGUGUUCAGAACAAUCACUUAACACAAGGAUGCCCCAUAUAUUUAAAUGCUGAAGUAAGAAAGCAAGACCAGGAAGAAAGAAGCAAGAGUGAAAAUUAAUCAUUCCUUCACCACAGAAAGUCCUCCCAGUGUUGCAAUUAUUUUAUAGUUACGCUCUCUUCAAAAAUCUAUCUUGCAUUCCUUACUGGGAACGGUAUCACCAGUUGCAGGUUUGUCCUCCUGCAAGCUCCACCUUGCUUGGGACAGGCAGCUUCCAGGAACAUGUAACAUCAAACAAAACCAAAAAGGGCUUCUGGAAAAUAGUCCUGGGUAACUACCUUUUGCAUGAAAUGAACACAGCUUUGUUAGCAACUGAUCAGGCAGCAAAGGCACAUGCAUUUUGUGCUCGUGACACACAGCAUGCUGGUAUCCAGAGAAGUUUCAGGGAGCAAAAGAAAGUGCAAAAGGACAGGAAGGCGGCUAGAGGGAACAAGCAGAGAAAUCAGAAAUAGAAGAUAACAAAGGAUGUGUCAGAAAUCCCAGUCAAGGCUACUACUUGUUCAUACACUUCCAGCACCUAAAAAAACUAAGAAAUUCACUCUUGAGCCUUGAGUGAGCUCUGGACCACAUGCCUCAGCACUGGCUGGAGUAACUGAGUGAGUGCCCAGCAGAGGACAUGCUGCUCUCAGCACAAACCUUUGCUCACAAAUCGCUGUCUUCCCAUGGCCUGGCCAAUGCAGUGCUACAGAUUUUCUUCUGGAAAGCAAAACCAAAUAAGCCAGAUUUCAGAAAUGGGUUUGCUCAGGGGUCUUCCUUUAACCCCCUUGGUGGCUUCCAAGCAAGCUGCUCCUGUGUGUCAGAAGACAUCACGGCAGGUGGGGCCAAGGAAGCAUGACCUGUGUGUUUAUGCACCCGCAGGUCUCAUUAUCCAUCUUAGAAUCACUGAGAGCUGCAGGUUUUAACAGGCCAAGGAGGCUGGAGCUCAAGCCCUAUAUUUAUCUGCUGUGGGACAAGCUCUAGAGGAAGCAGUGCUUGGGUCAUAGCUACAGGCCAUGAUGUCCUUGCUGGAGCACCGCUGCAGGAAGCAGUGCUGGAGAGAAAGGCUUCUCCUCCUGCUGUAGCACCCAUGUCUUCUGUGCUCACUGAGGUGCCUGCUGGCACAAGCAGACUUGUUCUGCAGACCUCUGGCACUGCUGCUAACGGAGUUACUCCUGACUCCUUCCCUGUGAGGGAAUAAAAAAGCUUGCCAGGAGUUUAAAAAGGGCCUUCCGGCUACCAAAACAAAACACAGUUUCUACUGGGAUAGUCUGGUAAUCCACAAAUGCAGAGUAGCUGAUCAUCCUUCUCUCUCUUUUUUUUUUGUCACUUUGCUGCUAUGAUCUACACCAGGCUAAGACCUUUUGUAUCUUCACCAGUAGCUCAGCGUAACCCUAAGGUGUCAUGGACCAGGGAGUGAGGAGUCAUCAGGCCAGGAGGGGCUGCUGACAUUCCCCAGAGCUGCAUCAAGACCUACUUGCCUUGGUAGGGAGAGCAAGGAGAAGGUCAGUGUUGAAUUGGAGGAGAUAAGUAGGGAGGAAGGUGACAGAGUGGCUCCCAUUGGUACAUGGGGGGUCUCAGCAGAUGCCAAAGCUGAUGGCUGAGGUGACAACAAGAGAAAAAGGCAGAGAGAGGAGGGGAAGCAUACCACUGCCGCUGUGAAAAACAGUAGGAAAAUCAAAUGUGCCUCUUUGUGGUUUCUCCGCUCCCACCAGGAAAAACUGCUUUCUCAGGAGAACUUUCCUGGCUGCCCACUGGUGCCAGUGGACAGGGACUCUUACAGAGAAGGCUGGGAGGCUGCAAGCCCUGCCGAGUGCCUUGCUCCAUUCCCCAAAUAGAAGUGCUCAGCAGUCACUGCUCCAAACAAGGUGCUUGGCAAAGGCAGCUGCUGCUUGGCAGUCUGCCCGGUGCCCCGAAAUAACACUGCCGGCUGAGAGCAAACCUGCUGCAUCACCACUGCUUUCAGGAAGCUAAGCACCCCGUCGGGAUGGAUAAGCAAACAGAACGCAGCCCUCCCUUUCCCACAGAGCUCUAUCACGACCAGAGCAUGCAGAAAAAGCAGGAAAACUACAAGGAAAUAUCACAAAAAUCAUGAAGCAAGUCCCUUUCGUUGGCUCCUGUCAAUGUUAUGAUGCUUCAUCUUGUUCAUAUUAAGGAUGAAUCUCAAAGCAACAUACAGUCUCAUGGCACAGCUGAGUAGCAUCAUCUAAAACCACUGCUCACAGGACAAUAUGUAUAAAAUCAUUACUUCAGAAUGCUGUCAAGAGCUACCUAAACCCAGAACUUUCUACAAAGAUGGCAGAUACAAAGAUGAAAAAUGACCAGUGCCUGCACCUCCUAUGACAAAAUGAGCAAACAAAAAAUGAAUGACGUGCACUGUGGCACUGGAUAACGCACACCAAAAUUCAGAGCAUCGCUUGCAUUUGGGAAGCACCCUGAGAUUCCUGGGUGUGAGGUGAGAGUAGAGGAGCUAGGAGAUGGAAAAGCAUCAGAGAGUCACAGAGUCUCUGGGGAGCCUUGGAGCCACCGCUGGCUGCGAGCUGGGAUUACUACCCAGGGAAGCCCCAUAAAAGGCCUGCUCUCUUCUCUGUCUCCUGCACUUGGGCACUGUUAGAGCUGCUUCUGCAUCUGGAGAGCAUCAUGGAACAGCAUAUGGGUCCCUCGAGGACACCCGUCAGCCUGGCAUGUGGAACAGCUGAGAGACACCGGAAGAGAAAAACAGGAGAGAAAACCAGUACUACACCCUUUUCAAGCUUGUUCUCCCCAGCGCCUGCAGACUGGCUGUUUAAUAGAUUGUGACGUCUACACAUUAGCUUUCACAACUUAGCCUCUCCUCUGCAGAGUAUUUCCAUGCGUAAAUUCAGUCCAGUGUGACGGACUUCAUUCAAAGGAGAACUAAAUUACAAUGAAGAACAAUAAGCAAUCAUGUUAUAUUUUCUGGAAAGAAUGUUUGAUAAGAUGCUAUCAAAACAGAUGAAAUCAAAUGCAAAAAAAAAAACAA